Long non-coding RNA from Trichomycterus rosablanca, 1459 nucleotides. RefSeq lists it as uncharacterized. The transcript has 2 exons. Lineage: Eukaryota; Metazoa; Chordata; Actinopteri; Siluriformes; Trichomycteridae. The record is from RefSeq and is a predicted model, not a curated record.
GUUCUGGUUAGCAGGUUUGGUGCUGCUAGUAGAGCUGGCGUGAUCAUCACAUCAGUGUAUAAUAAUCCACUAAAGAACAAUUAAAGAACUAAUAAAGAACUGUUGUGCUUUAAGACAACAGGUUUUCUGCUGGUAGGUUUACAAGCCGGAAACUGUGGAAUAAAAGUCGGUGAGGACAUUUUUAACCUACUUGCUGUCAGGAUGUAAUUUACCAAGCAGCAGGACCAGAAAGUGAAAUAUUGUUAGAUUUUUUUUCCCCAACUUUGCAACUUACAAUUUGAGAAACAUUUAAGGCACAAUGCCACGGUCCAAAGAAAUUCCAGAAGACUUGCGCAAAAGAGUAAUCGAAGCUCACCAGUCUGGAAAAGGCUACAAACUUAUUGCUAGUUCCUUGGAUCUUCAGAUUUCCACGAUCAGAGCUAUAGUGCGUAAAUGGAAAACGUUUGGCACAGUCAUGACGAGGCCCAGGAGCGGCCGGCCACCCAAAAUCUCACCUAAAGAGAGGGACAACAUCAUUGGUGAGGUCCGGAAGAACCCCUGUACAACUCCUAAGAACCUGCAGGCCACCCUUGCCUCAGCGAACAUCCAUGUUCAUGAUUCAACCAUUCGAAGGAUACUGGGAAAACAUCUAAGACCAGUUUUAAUUUCUUAUGACGGUCGUACGAAAAUUUAUAAAGAAGAGGAACACGGCACUGAGGCUUCAGGUGAAUUAAUUCAGGAUGUAAAAGUUGAGAGUAUGGAAGAGUUCUCCAACAUUAAGACUGAUCACGCUGAUGCUGUUGCUUCUAAUGUUGCCAGGAACAAACAGGGGGAUGAUGGGGUAGAUAAGCCAGGCGACGGUAAUAAUGGAGAUGAUAACAGUGGCAAUAACACUGACGACGUGGGAGCUGUUGACCAAAAUAACACUGAUGACAGUGGCAACGGUGAUAAUUGUCAAUGAGAGUAAUAUUCACAGUAAUGAUUAUAAUAACCAGAGCUGUAAUAAUAUGAGAUUAUUUUAUGAUUUUUCCAUCAUGACUUGAGAGAUAAAUAGCUAACGUUGACAAUAUUAGUCUCGGUGACUAUUAAAAUGGUAAGUCUAAUGAUAAUGCAGUUCUAACAGUGGUGGUUCUGACAUUUAUAAACAACCACUGGAGUGGUUCUGACAUUUGUUAGACUAGUAGGUUCAGUAUUGUUGUGUACAAUGGCCCAGUGGAUUUAUAGACAUUACCACGGCUAAUCACUAAAAGUAAUACUUAGUUUAUUCAACUUUUUUCUUCUUCUUUACUUUGAUUUUUUACAUUAUUUAAAAGUAAGUGGACAUGGGCACAAGUAAUACGUUUUAUGGUGUUUAAGUUUUAAUUAUUAUGUUUUUGUGCAAAACAGCAAAUGUUUGUUUCUCUAGUGCUUGUUCAGAUCAGGGGCUAAAACACUGUCACAACACGUUGUUGCAAAAAUAAAGAGAUUUGUUGCACACAGA